CCUACGGUGAGCAGCAGUGAGGAAUAUUGGUCAAUGGACGAGAGUCUGAACCAGCCAAGUAGCGUGAAGGAUGACUGCCCGAUGGGUUGUAAACUUCUUUUAUAUGGGAAUAACAUGUUCCACGUGUGGGAUUUUUUAUUUACCAUAUGACUAAGGCACGGAUAACUCCGUGCCAGCAGCCGCGGUAAUACGGAGGAUCCGAGCAUUAUCCGGAUUUAUUGGGUUUAAAGGGAGCGUAGGUGGAUUGUUAAGUCAGUUGUGAAAGUUUGCGGCUCAACCGUAAAAUUGCAUUUGAAACUGGCAGUCUUGAGUACAGUAGAGGUGGGCGGAAUUCGUGGUGUAGCGGUGAAAUGCUUAGAUAUCACGAAGAACUCCGAUUGCGAAGGCAGUUCACUGGACUGCAACUGACACUGAGGCUCGAAAGUGUGGGUAUCAAACAGGAUUAGAUACCCUUGUAGUC
Molecule: ribosomal RNA, 460 nt
Filed under: uncultured bacterium
Lineage: Bacteria
Description: partial 16S ribosomal RNA
Rfam family: Bacterial small subunit ribosomal RNA
Source: RNAcentral